GCAGAUGUAACUCAGUGAAAGAGUACUUGCCUAGCAUGCAAAAGGCCUUGGGUUCAAUCCUCAGCACUGCC
RNAcentral lists this transfer RNA (71 nucleotides) under Heterocephalus glaber (naked mole-rat). It matches the Rfam family "tRNA". Rfam says of the family: Transfer RNA (tRNA) molecules are approximately 80 nucleotides in length. The record is from Rfam by way of RNAcentral. Lineage: Eukaryota; Metazoa; Chordata; Mammalia; Rodentia; Bathyergidae.